This 484-nucleotide ribosomal RNA is filed under the name uncultured bacterium. RNAcentral describes it as "partial 16S ribosomal RNA". It matches the Rfam family "Bacterial small subunit ribosomal RNA", at positions 30 to 507 of the family's 1533-position model. The record is from RNAcentral.
AUUGAACGCUGGCGGCAGGCCUAACACAUGCAAGUCGAGCGGAUGAAGGGAGCUUGCUCCUGGAUGCAGCGGCGGACGGGUGAGUAAUGCCUAGGAAUCUGCCUGGUAGUGGGGGAUAACGUCCGGAAACGGGCGCUAAUACCGCAUACGUCCUGAGGGAGAAAGGGGGGGAUCUUCGGACCUCACGCUAUCAGAUGAGCCUAGGUCGGAUUAGCUAGUUGGUGGGGUAAAGGCCUACCAAGGCGACGAUCCGUAACUGGUCUGAGAGGAUGAUCAGUCACACUGGAACUGAGACACGGUCCAGACUCCUACGGGAGGCAGCAGUGGGGAAUAUUGGACAAUGGGCGAAAGCCUGAUCCAGCCAUGCCGCGUGUGUGAAGAAGGUCUUCGGAUUGUAAAGCACUUUAAGUUGGGAGGAAGGGCAGUAAGUUAAUACCUUGCUGUUUUGACGUUACCAACAGAAUAAGCACCGGCUAACUUCGUG